Long non-coding RNA from Aethina tumida (small hive beetle), 584 nucleotides. RefSeq lists it as uncharacterized. Lineage: Eukaryota; Metazoa; Arthropoda; Insecta; Coleoptera; Nitidulidae. The record is from RefSeq and is a predicted model, not a curated record. The transcript has 3 exons.
GUUCAUUUCAUUCGUAUUUUAUCACCUGUAUAAAUGGGCCGCCCGCAAGAUGAACCAAGACCCCAACAUCUACUUCGCCGCCCUCAAGAUGUUCACGUUUUUAGGCACCAUUUACCCAAUAUUGUUGCUGUUGUUCGAACUGUGCUCGGAGACUUAUCCCAAUAUUUUGGAGGUCGUGUAUACGGUGGUCCUGAUUAGCAUCAUCAUCAUGAACUGAUUCAAUUUGUCCACGUAUCAAAAUAUGUGUUGUAAGUAUUCGCAACGCCGGUUCAAUUCAACAACCGGUGGGUUUUUAGGUUUGCACAACCGAAACGGAUCAUGGUGUAUGUCUAGGUCAGUGCAUCGAAACAAAAUUCCCCUAUGACCACGAUGUCGUCGGUUUGUCUCAUUCGGUUUCGCAACUCGGACACACAUUUUGUUUGUACCCGCAAUAUUCACCGAUGCAUACGACAUUCGGGUCGCCUUGAAAUUUUUGUUUGGAUCCGCUAGUUUUUAAAUUAUGCACAUUGUUCCAUACGGCGGUCGAAACGGAUUCUCCAGCGAAACGGCGGUCGCGAAUGCAAGGCUGGAUUUUAUUAUUCAUU